CAUAAAGAUUCUUCGGAUGACUUAUUGGGCGGCGAGCGGCGGACGGGUGAGUAAUGCCUAGGAAAUUGCCCUGAUGUGGGGGAUAACCAUUGGAAACGAUGACUAAUACCGCAUGAUGCCUACGGGCCAAAGAGGGGGACCUUCGGGCCUCUCGCGUCAGGAUAUGCCUAGGUGGGAUUAGCUAGUUGGUGAGGUAAGGGCUCACCAAGGCGACGAUCCCUAGCUGGUCUGAGAGGAUGAUCAGCCACACUGGAACUGAGACACGGUCCAGACUCCUACGGGAGGCAGCAGUGGGGAAUAUUGCACAAUGGGCGCAAGCCUGAUGCAGCCAUGCCGCGUGUAUGAAGAAGGCCUUCGGGUUGUAAAGUACUUUCAGCAGUGAGGAAGGUUCAUGCGUUAAUAGCGUAUGGAUUUGACGUUAGCUGCAGAAGAAGCACCGGCUAACUCCGUGCCAGCAGCCGCGGUAAUACGGAGGGUGCGAGCGUUAAUCGGAAUUACUGGGCGUAAAGCGCAUGCAGGUGGUUAGUUAAGUCAGAUGUGAAAGCCCGGGGCUCAACCUCGGAAUUGCAUUUGAAACUGGCUAACUAGAGUACUGUAGAGGGGGGUAGAAUUUCAGGUGUAGCGGUGAAAUGCGUAGAGAUCUGAAGGAAUACCGGUGGCGAAG
This 664-nucleotide ribosomal RNA is filed under the name uncultured bacterium. RNAcentral describes it as "bacterial SSU rRNA". It matches the Rfam family "Bacterial small subunit ribosomal RNA", at positions 70 to 720 of the family's 1533-position model. The record is from RNAcentral.